RNAcentral lists this microRNA precursor (121 nucleotides) under Olea europaea subsp. europaea. The record is from RNAcentral. Lineage: Eukaryota; Viridiplantae; Streptophyta; Magnoliopsida; Lamiales; Oleaceae.
GCGAUAAGAGCCGAUCAACUAGCCAAGGUGACUUGCAUACAAACCCCAAAAUCAUAAUUCUAGAAUCUUCUCCUAAGGAUGUAGGCAAGCCAUCCUUGGCUACCAAAUAAGACUCUUUAUC